AGCGAACGCUGGCGGCAGGCUUAACACAUGCAAGUCGAGCGGGCAUAGCAAUAUGUCAGCGGCAGACGGGUGAGUAACGCGUGGGAACGUACCUUUUGGUUCGGAACAACUGAGGGAAACUUCAGCUAAUACCGGAUAAGCCCUUACGGGGAAAGAUUUAUCGCCGAAAGAUCGGCCCGCGUCUGAUUAGCUAGUUGGUGAGGUAAUGGCUAACCAAGGCGACGAUCAGUAGCUGGUCUGAGAGGAUGAUCAGCCACAUUGGGACUGAGACACGGCCCAAACUCCUACGGGAGGCAGCAGUGGGGAAUAUUGGACAAUGGGCGCAAGCCUGAUCCAGCCAUGCCGCGUGAGUGAUGAAGGCCCUAGGGUUGUAAAGCUCUUUUGUGCGGGAAGAUAAUGACGGUACCGCAAGAAUAAGCCCCGGCUAACUUCGUGCCAGCAGCCGCCGUAA
Molecule: ribosomal RNA, 451 nt
Filed under: uncultured bacterium
Lineage: Bacteria
Description: partial 16S ribosomal RNA
Rfam family: Bacterial small subunit ribosomal RNA
Source: RNAcentral